Molecule: transfer RNA, 72 nt
Filed under: Camelus bactrianus (Bactrian camel)
Lineage: Eukaryota; Metazoa; Chordata; Mammalia; Artiodactyla; Camelidae
Also listed under: 2 other names
Rfam family: tRNA
About the family: Transfer RNA (tRNA) molecules are approximately 80 nucleotides in length.
Source: Rfam by way of RNAcentral
GUGGGUAUAGCUCAGUGGUAGAGCGCAUGCCUAGCAUGCAUAAGAUCCUGGGUUCAAUCCCCAGUGCAUUCA